Molecule: ribosomal RNA, 253 nt
Filed under: uncultured bacterium
Lineage: Bacteria
Description: partial 16S ribosomal RNA
Rfam family: Bacterial small subunit ribosomal RNA
Source: RNAcentral
UACGUAGGGGGCAAGCGUUGUCCGGAAUCAUUGGGCGUAAAGAGCUCGUAGGCGGUCUGUCACGUCGGCUGUGAAAACCCGAGGCUCAACCUCGGGCCUGCAGUCGAUACGGGCAAACUAGAGUACUGCAGGGGAGACUGGAAUUCCUGGUGUAGCGGUGAAAUGCGCAGAUAUCAGGAGGAACACCGGUGGCGAAGGCGGGUCUCUGGGCAGUAACUGACGCUGAGGAGCGAAAGCGUGGGGAGCGAACAGG